Molecule: non-coding RNA, 1821 nt
Organism: Rattus norvegicus (Norway rat)
Lineage: Eukaryota; Metazoa; Chordata; Mammalia; Rodentia; Muridae
Source: RefSeq, a predicted model, not a curated record
CACAGCACGUGUUGUGCAUGCUUGAAGUCUGAAGAGGUCAGAAGAGGCAUGAGAUCCCCGGGACUGAUUACAGAUGGCUAUGAGAUGCCAUGCGGGUGCUGGGAACUGAACACAGGUCCUGUGCAAGAGCUCGUCUCGUGCUCUUAAGCCCCGAUCGAUCGGUCUCUUCAGCACCUAGAGGAUCGAGCAUCCUGACCCCUCUGUGUGCCACUGUGAUUCUGGAAAAGACACUCUUCCACUCGGAGUCACAGUUUCCUCUGCUGCAGAUACGGUUCGUGAUGUCCAUGCAACCUCUCUCAGGAGACAGGAAGUGGGUAGUGGGUGGCAGGACCAGAGACUCGUGUCUCCUCUUUUUUUUCUUUUUUUUUUUUUAAAGAGGUCCUUUAUUGAAAGGGGGGAGGAAGCCAGGAAGAGAACGCUUGGGUCUCCUCCUUAAGGCUGGGGCAGCUCUGAAGAAGCCACACAGAGUAAGGUUUUGUUUGUUUUGAACACUUUCGGUGCUGGCCCAGAACGCUUAAAGGAAAUGCUUUAAACGUGUUGGCAAUCUGUGCUCUGAGUGAGACCACGGCCUCUGAGCCCAGACAGAUCAGUCCAAGCUCUGGCCCUGCCCCAAGUGUUUGUGUGUUUAACUUCUCAAGGGUUUCCACUGAGGGGAACAAAAGCCCAGAAGUUUCCCCGAAGUCCUUUGGCUUAAUCCUCCCAAGAGUCAUUGAAGCCUCUCAAGAUUGAUCCAGAAAGUGGAGGACACUUCAAGACUCUGCUUUUCAUAUUUGUCUGUUCCUCUUCAACAAACCCACUUGAGGUUUUUGUUGUUGUUUUUUUUUUUUUUUCUUUUUAUGCCCCAGUGACAACAUAACACUGAAGUUCAAGAAUUAUGUCUAGGGUCACAGUGGCAGGAAGUGGCUGAACAGGGAGGCAUCUUUCAAGAAUCUUCUCUCCAUGCACAGAGAGAAAGAAAGAGCUAAGACUGCAACGGGCUCUCAGGCUGAGAAACCGGAAAGAACGGGUUUUGACAGCAUUCGACAGGAAGAUGGCAAGGUUUAAGCAAAGGGUGCAAACCACAGGCUGGAAGCUCCAGAUGCCUUGAUGACGUCACGCCCAUGGAGCCGGCCCUGUGCCUGACUUGAUGUUCAGCUGGAUUGAAAGUUGGAGCACAAAGGAACAGACAGUUUUAAGGGAACCAGCAGAUAAAUUUGUAUUUCUGGUUGGGUAAGAAGGAUGAAGACUUAACAAAAAUCAAACUACUGGUUUUUGUGGAUGAAAGUCCCUGGAAAGGAGAUAGAUGUACCCGCCUGACCACAGCAGGGAUCUCAGUAUCUGAGGUUCUAAUGUUCAGUAUCUAAUGUUCCAGGUCCUGAGCCAAAUUACUUUGGGCCAAUCAUUAGCCUCCUUAACAGCCACCGAUCGCCUUCUGUAUGCGCCCUAACAGCUCUGUGGCCCUUAGCUUCCUGCUCUCUCAGAACACGAUGUUUGUAAAACAAACAAUCACAAAACAAAACGAAACAAAACGAAACAGAGAACUCUGUUCCCAAGCCAUGGCCAUCCCUACUGGCUCCAGAACUCUGAUCCCCUUCGAGAAACGGAACUUCGUGAACGCGUGUGGCGAGAGCAUUAAAUAGACACCAGCUCUCCUGUGUUCUGCACUCACUUCCCAGGGAAGCCAUACACCUAAUAAACUGCCCAGCCAGAGCUGGCUUGCACUGCUGAUAGCCUCAGCAGGCACUGACCUUGGCACCGUGACAAGGGCAACAUUUCCAAGUGGAUGAGCGCCUCCUGAACAAAGUGUCCAAUGUACCAGGAAUAAACAGGCCUUUCAUCAAC